GACGAACGCUGGCGGCGUGCUUAACACAUGCAAGUCGAACGGAAAGGCCUGCUUUUCCUUGUUGAGUGCGGGUACGCGAGUGGGUAACGGGUGAGUAACACGUGUGUGAUCUGCCCCCAACUUGGUUAUAAGCCUGGGAAACUGUGUCUAAUUCCCUAUAGGACUGCAGGGUGGUGCAGUGGGUGGAGAACGUGUUUCUAGUGGUUGGGGAUGAGCUCGCGGCCUAUCAGCUUGUUGGUGGGGUAAUGGCCUACCACGGCGGCGAGUGGUAGCCGGACUGAGAGGGGCGACGGCGACAUUGGGACUGGGAUCAGGCCCCGACUCCUACGGGCGGCAGCAAUGGGGCAUAUUGGGCCAUGGGCCGAAGCCUGAUGCAGCGCCGCAGUGUGGAAGAUCACGGCCUUCGAGUUGUCAACUACUUUCGAACGCGAGAAAGCCAACUGGCUAGACGCGUGGUGACGGUAGUGGUAGAAAAAGCACCGGCUAACUACGUG
This 494-nucleotide ribosomal RNA is filed under the name uncultured bacterium. Its description in RNAcentral is "partial 16S ribosomal RNA". It matches the Rfam family "Bacterial small subunit ribosomal RNA", at positions 28 to 507 of the family's 1533-position model. The record is from RNAcentral.